UUCACGUAAACCUUGAUUUGUUUCUAAAGUGACUUUUUUUAAAAAGGUAAUACCAGAUAAUUUUAUAGUGAAGAAUGAGAGAUAAAAGGAAAACAAGAUGAGAAAAAACGUCGGUAGGAGUAAGGUGUAAACCAGGACAUCAGACACCAAAGAGGAAUCUUUGUUUCUAAAAAAUAGUGUCCAGUAUGUGAACCGCAGCCUGGCUGACAGCUGUGUUGUCAUGACAGCCACCAGUUUCGGAAGACUGUUACGUCUUGCAUUUCUGUGUGUGCCACAGGCAUCCUGCUGAAGCCCAGUUCAAGAAAUGCAUGCAGCAGGUGGAGGGGCCAGAAGGACUACAGCUUUGAGUUCCACCUCUGCUGCUCAUGUAAGCAAGGGAAUGCUUUAAGAUGACCAUUAAAUCUAAACCCUAAGUGACAGACCCAGGUGUUGGACUCUGAGCUCAUUUCUGUAUACUUUGUCCUGUGGCCAUUAACUGUAGGCUCUAUUGCCAGAAGUCAACACUCAUUGACCAUUUUCAAGUACAACUUUGUAGACUAUUUCCAGUAGUUUUUUGUUGAAAACCAUUUCUUGUAGCAAGUGUCAAAUGGUAAUUCUUGUGAAGUAUUUGAAAGUAUUGAUACUGCAUUUGGUUUAAGGAGAAAUUAGAAGUGAUCAGAACAGUGGUUCUCAAAACUUGUGGGAUUUGCUCUCACCUGGAGAACUUUUUAAAAGGUAAGUUUCUGAUUUGGUCCACCUAGCACAUAGGGCCCAAGUAUAUGCAUUCUGACAAGUUCCCAGCUGAUGAUGCUUUUGCCUUGACCACUGCACUAGGAGGAUUCCCUUCUGUUGAUUUGCUGUCCUUUGGUACUCCAAACUAGAACCUGAUUGGAUGGCCAAGAAGUCAGGCCUGUGCAUCUUGUUAAAGUGAAGACCUUAACACCAGCGGCAGGCAGCAGCUGUGCUGUUUCGCUGUAGAUAAUUUGAGGAGGCCCCUAAGGCUGGGCGUUAAUCUGCUCAGUGCUUCUCCCACACAGGUAAGGCAAGCUUUGAAUAGGUACCAGAAACCAUUGUUUCCUGUCCUUGAGCAUUUGCUUUUGAAGGAAGGGUUUUAAUUGCUGAUUCUGCAAGUGUUCUGUGUAUAUUUAGUAUAAAAGUAAAAAAACUUAGUCGUUGUUUUAUUAAGUUUGUGAAAACAAAACACCAAAUUUGAACCAACAUACAACAUAUAGCAAAAAGUACACGAAAACAUCUUUGAAAGAAAGAAACAGAUAGGUUUCUAGACCAGUCCCAGACUGCCCGUGGCUGAGCUUUCUCCGUCUUAACUUGGGUUGGCUGUAAACUUGAAGGAUGGGUUGGAUCAAUGUUCGCACAGGUCUCACUGUUUUUCCUAGCCAGGUGUCUACUGUUAUUUAAUGUUUGUCUUUAGACUGCUUCCAGUUUUUGUUUUUUUGUUGCUGUUUUAUUGCCAACAAAGCUGCAAGGAAUGUCUUUGUGCAUUUAUCUUCACGUACUUGUGUUUCCUUAGGAUAAAUUUUAAGAGGUAGAAUUACUGUGUCAAAGUGAUGUAAGGGUAGAUAGAUAGUACCAAUUUGCCUCCAAAAUAUUGUAGUUAUCUACUCCAACCAGUGUUGAGAGGAAACUCCUAUUUCGGGAACUGUCUCAUAAUUGUCAUUUUAUUAGCAUUUACCCCAGCCCCUAACUUGCUAACAGUGUUGCACAUAGUCAUUAACUUUUUAGAAAUAUUAAUGUGAAUUAAGUGGUUUUAAACUGGAUAAUUUCCACUUUCUACUUCUUAAAAUUCUACAGUCAAGAUGUACAGGAUUGUUCCAGCUUAUCAGUACAGAACUGAAAUCAUUCAAGUUCACACACUCCCACCCAGCCUUGUGCUACUAAUUUGUGAAUGGAAAGAUACUCCUCCUUCAACACACUAUACCACCAGGUGCCAGAAACUUGUGAACUAUAAAUCAACGACUAGGCAAUGACUGCCCCCAUGCCAGGUUUGUGCAAAGAACUCGCAUAAUUGUAAGCACAGCCCUGCGCUGCUUCUGUGGUUCUUAAUUAUGGUCUACUAUCAUUGGAAAAUACAAAGUAGUAAUCCUAAAAUGAUAAUUAACAUUUAUUGAGCACUUAUGUGUCAGGUACUGUUGACUUUCAGUCUAACUACCCUUUCUAACAAACACUACUAUGCUGACUUUACCCAAGAGGAAACUGAUGCACAGAGAGGUCAAGGAAUCUUGUCAGUGCCAUUCAAAUCAUUCAGAAUGCCUCUAAUGCCAGUACUGUAUUCUGAAAAGUGCAAGCUACUCUAUGUUGAAACUUUUGUGUGUGUGUGUGAGGAAGAGUGACCCUAAGCUAACAUCUGUGCCAAUCCUCCUCUACUUAGUAUAUGGGAUGCUGCCUCAGCUUGGCUUGAUGAACAGUGUGUAGGUUCAUGCCUGGGAUCUGAACCUGCAAACCCCGGGGCUGCCAGAGUGGAGUGUGUGAAUUUAACCACUAGGCCAGCUCCUGGAACAUUUCUUAAUAGCAUAAUAAAGAUAAUUGGAACCUUGUGGAAACAUGUGUUGGGUAUAUGGAUAUUCAUCCUAUUAUUUUCUCUAUGUGCUUGAAAAGAUCUUAUUUAAGUCUUAUUUUUUAAAGUAAUAACAUGCUAUUUUUAACUCUGAGUUCUUUAUCUCUGAAAACUAAGUUAAAGCUUGACAACAUUCUUGGUCAACCAGCAUUUGGGGACCCCACUCUGGGCCAGGAGAACUCAAGGAAGCAGAAGCUGCCGCAGCUGCAGCCCUCAGGGAGUUCACGAGGUGGGGCUCAAAGCUCAGCUCCUGAUGCAGGAGGUCCUGUUCUCGGAGUCCUUUCUUGCUUGAGGAAGGGGGAAUGCGGGGAUGCACCAAGCGGGGAUCCCCAUAGGAGAUAAGCAGUACGGAAAUGAUGAAGACAAAAGUGCAAAGUGGAAUUUGAGUUUAUGGGGGAGAAAUCUCUCUCCCUUGCUCUCUUAACCACAAGAUACCACACAGUGAAGAAAACAAGAAACAGUAGCAGAGAAAUACCCAUUGGCAGAUUAACAGAGUUGUAAGUACAGCUGCAUCCUGUUGUACCCCACAUCCCCACCCUAAAACUCUUGUCCAGCCUCCUUUGAGCUUGGGUAAUUUGAUCCUCACCUGGAGAGCCACUCUAGGCCAUAGAAGCAUAGGGAAGCUGUCAUGUGGUUCUUGGGGCCACCAAACCUCCCGCCUUACUAACCUGAGCCAAGAAGCAGAGAAGGCCUUGGUUUCUAGCAGGGAUAAAUGUGCCUGACUCCAGGAAAAGACUUGCUCAGACCACAAAUGCAUCUAUUUAUAUCUCGUAAUCUGCUGGGCCAGCAACAUGCUAAUAACCAGCUGGGCAUGAUGGAGAGGCCACAGGCCAACUGUCAGAAUGGCGAGAGCCCUGCACUCAUGGUCAGAGAAAAUAACAGACGUGGAAGCGCUGCAUCAGCCAAAAAGCGGCAUAUGAAGUAUUCCAGCUGUUGUUACUGUGAGCUGGUUUCACCACCUACUGGUUCAUGUCCUUGGACAAGUCAACCUGUCUGAGCCUCAGUUUCUUCAUCUAUAAAAUGGAAACAGUAACUCUCUGUUUAUCUUAUAGGGCUCUUGGAAACUCAGAUGACAUAAUUUAUGCAAAAAUUCCCUGUAAACUGAGCAAAUGUAAAGUAGUAUUACUGAUAUCUGUUCUACUUAAAAACAGGACGAGCAAAGAGUGAUGGAUUCCAGGGCAGAAGUCAGUGGAGAGGUGAGGGAACCUUCUUCAGUAGCCGCCAGCCAGCCGUUUGCCAGACCCACUUUCCCUCAUUUCUGGGCACGCAGCUGGACUGUAUUCCCCAGCCUUUCUUGCAGUUAGCUGUGGCCAUGGAGCAGUUCCAGCCAAUGGAACAGUAGCGGCAGUAAUGUACAUCACUUGGAGGCCUGGUCGGUAAAAGUCCACCACUGCACUCCUCGGUGCCCUAACACACACAUGCACACACACACCCCCCCAGCUGCUGGCUCCAUACAAACACUGUAACCUUGGAAGCCGGGCCUCAAGAUAGAGAUGCUACAAGGUGAUAGGACCCUGGGGCCCUGACUCACCAGUGGCUUGGAGCACAGCUACCCACUGAUCAGGAACAUCCUUUUUGGAUUUUAUAGAGGAAGAAAUAAAUUUUUGUUAUGUUUGGGCUGUUAUAUUAGCUUGAAUCAUAUGAAAUUGACAAUAUUUGUACUAUUUUUGACCCAUAAAAGUGAUAAUUUCAUAUGAUUCAACCUAAUAGAUAUUUUGAUUUGUUUCAGCAGCUGGUGUAACCUUGGACACCAUCCUAGAGGAAGUCUUGGUAACAGCCACAUUUUCAAAGAGAUCAUGAGGAGUGCAUGAUUUUGUUAGCCUUGUGGUUUCACCAGCGUGAUCACCAGGCCUUUUCUGGGAAAGAACACAGUGGGAAGUGGAAACUGUAAAUGGACACGCUCCUUGGGAGUCCUCAGGCCCCCCUGUCAGCCCCUGACUAGUCUUCACACUUCAGGCUAGGAAAUCACCCCACGGUUUUGAAGGUAUUGAGGUCUCGUCCCUAUUUUAUAGCAGAACGAGAAUCAGAGCAGGAUUAUGACAGAAUUCUAACUCCAGCUUCCACCUGUUUAAUAUAUCAGAGAAACGUGAUGUUGGUGAAAUGCCAGAUUGGAAACCAAAGGCUUGUGGUAAGUAUAAGUCAGUGCAAAUGGUCUGAUUUGAUUGGAAAUGAUCUUGUAAUAAUUUGAGAGAACGCACACACAGAUAUUAAGAUUCUGCUGUUCAUUCUCUGCCUGCUCUGGGCGUGCUUUUCUCUUUCUCCUGGUCUUCCUAAGAGCUUUCUUCCAUCUCUUGUCAAUUCUUAGGCUUGGGUUCUCUUUCCUUUUCCCAAAUCACAGAUGUUUUCCCACCCUGUGAAAUCUAGUGACUGGCUCGCCAGAGCAUUACUGCAAUUGUGUUUUUCAGAAGGAAAUCCUUUUUUUAACUGCCAGGAAUUCCAGGCUCCAAACUGGAUGGGAGGGAGGAUGUUGUGGCAUAGUGCCAGGUAACUGCCUCCUUUUCCCUUCAGCCAUGUGAAGGCGACUGGCUGGAGCCCAAGCAUAGAACCACAGCCUCCCAGGGCUGAAGGGACAGCCUUUCAGGGAACCCAGGAGGUUGAGUCCAGUCAUUUCUCGUUCACAUAGACAGGACCUCUUUUAAACCACAGCCUAGCCUCACUUUAAUGCCUUCCAAAAGGAAAAAUCAUAUAGACGCCAUUGAACACAUAUCCCAAUGUUAAAAACAGUAUCAUAAAACCUUUUCUUUCGUCUAAACCAGAGUUUGGCAAACUUUCUCUGCAAAAGACCAGUAAAUGUUUUAGGCUUCACAGACCAUAUGCUCUCUAUUGCAACUACUUAACUCUGCCAGCCUGUGCAAAACCAGCCACACACAGGACCUGGGUCCAACAAAUGAGCAUGGCCGUGUUCCAAGAAAAUUUUUGUUUGUUUGUUUUCUUUUAGUGAGGAAGAUUGUCCCUGAGCUAAUGUCUGUGCCAAUCUUCCUCUAUUUUGUAAGUGGGAUGCUGCCACAGCAUGGCUUGAUGAGCGGUAUGUA
This is a long non-coding RNA of Equus quagga, 5583 nucleotides long. RefSeq lists it as uncharacterized. The record is from RefSeq and is a predicted model, not a curated record. The transcript has 3 exons. Lineage: Eukaryota; Metazoa; Chordata; Mammalia; Perissodactyla; Equidae.